Molecule: transfer RNA, 65 nt
Filed under: Cyclopelta obscura
Lineage: Eukaryota; Metazoa; Arthropoda; Insecta; Hemiptera; Dinidoridae
Description: tRNA-Ile
Source: RNAcentral
AAUAAGAUGCCUGACAAAAAGGGCUAUUUUGAUAGAAUAGAUAAAGUAUUAUUAUACUCUUAUUA